CCCAAUAAAAUUAAAAAAGGAAGAAGCGCAUUGUCUAGAAUUAAGAAGAAGAAACGAAGUAACAACCAACGGUGACGAUUACACCAACAAAAUAUAAAAUCUGAUUGGCUGAUAUUAUAGAUCGUCGAGAGAUGAUUGGUCCACGUAGUCUACGGUGACAUAGUUAUGUUUCUUCGUCUACCAUAAAAGGAGACUACUUCACCAUCACCUUCGGGCACUACUU
Molecule: long non-coding RNA, 223 nt
Filed under: Capsella grandiflora
Lineage: Eukaryota; Viridiplantae; Streptophyta; Magnoliopsida; Brassicales; Brassicaceae
Description: long non-coding RNA (CGRA_LNC000855)
Source: RNAcentral